GGAAGCCUGAUGCAGCGACGCCGCUUGAGGGAUGACGGCCUUCGGGUUGUAAACCUCUUUCAGUAGGGAAGAAGCGAAAGUGACGGUACCUGCAGAAGAAGCGCCGGCUAAAUACGUGCCAGCAGCCGCGGUAAUACGUAGGGCGCAAGCGUUAUCCGGAAUUAUUGGGCGUAAAGAGCUCGUAGGCGGUUUGUCGCGUCUGCCGUGAAAGUCCGGGGCUCAACUCCGGAUUUGCGGUGGGUACGGGCAGACUAGAGUGAUGUAGGGGAGACUGGAAUUCCUGGUGUAGCGGUGAAAUGCGCAGAUAUCAGGAGGAACACCGAUGGCGAAGGCAGGUCUCUGGGCAUUAACUGACGCUGAGGAGCGAAAGCAUGGGGAGCGAACAGGAUUAGAUACCCUGGUAGUCCAUGCCGUAAACGUUGGGCACUAGGUGUGGGGGACAUUCCACGUUUUCCGCGCCGUAGCUAACGCAUUAAGUGCCCCGCCUGGGGAGUACGGCCGCAAGGCUAAAACUCAAAGGAAUUGACGGGGGCCCGCACAAGCGGCGGAGCAUGCGGAUUAAUUCGAUGCAACGCGAAGAACCUUACCAAGGCUUGACAUGGACCGGAUCGCCGCAGAAAUGUGGUUUCUCCUUUGGGGCCGGUUCACAGGUGGUGCAUGGUUGUCGUCAGCUCGUGUCGUGAGAUGUUGGGUUAAGUCCCGCAACGAGCGCAACCCUCGUUCCAUGUUGCCAGCACUUGAAGGUGGGGACUCAUGGGAGACUGCCGGGGUCAACUCGGAGGAAGGUGGGGACGACGUCAAAUCAUCAUGCCCCUUAUGUCUUGGGCUUCACGCAUGCUACAAUGGCCGGUACAAAGGGUUGCGAUACUGUGAGGUGGAGCUAAUCCCAAAAAGCCGGUCUCAGUUCGGAUUGGGGUCUGCAACUCGACCCCAUGAAGUCGGAGUCGCUAGUAAUCGCAGAUCAGCAACGCUGCGGUGAAUACGUUCCCGGGCCUUGUACACACCGCCCGUCAAGUCACGAAAGUUGGUAACACCCGAAGCCGG
Molecule: ribosomal RNA, 1044 nt
Filed under: Arthrobacter globiformis
Lineage: Bacteria; Bacillati; Actinomycetota; Actinomycetes; Micrococcales; Micrococcaceae
Description: bacterial SSU rRNA
Rfam family: Bacterial small subunit ribosomal RNA
Source: RNAcentral